RNAcentral lists this long non-coding RNA (295 nucleotides) under Homo sapiens (human). RNAcentral describes it as "HSALNT0144783". Lineage: Eukaryota; Metazoa; Chordata; Mammalia; Primates; Hominidae. The record is from RNAcentral.
UCAGGGACUGCACAGGUCAUUGUUGUGCAGCUGUGUCAAGGGCUGAGUCAGGUGCUGGGGUGCCCUGGGCAGGAGGCCGGCAUCAGGAUGGGGAGAUGGGCUGGAAAACAAGGCAGCAAAGAAGUCCCACCCGUCUACUAACUCCAAGCUGUAGGAUGUGUCCCAACCCCUCAGUCCUGGCUGUGCAUCUCCAGGCCCCAUUGAGGACAGAGCUCAAGUCCCCUCAACAGUCUACAAGCCACUGCACCUCACUGUUCCCAUGGAGACAGAGAUACCAAGGUCCAGAGCCAAACCA